AGCCGAUUUUUGGGUUUAUUUUCGAUUUUUGGAAUUUUGGCCGAUUUUAGGUUUUUCUGCCGAUUUUUUGGGUUUUCGGCCGAUUUUAGGGUUUAUAGUCGAUUUUUGGGUUUUUGGCCGAUUUUAGGUUUUUGCUGUCGAUUUUUUGGAUUUUCGGCCGAAUUAGCGUUUAUCUUCAAUUUUAGGUUUUUCGGCUAAUUUUAUGUUUAUGGUCGAUUUUAUUAAAAUAAAUAAAAUUAAAUGAAGGAAAUUCA
RNAcentral lists this long non-coding RNA (254 nucleotides) under Trifolium pratense (red clover). Its description in RNAcentral is "long non-coding RNA (TPRA_LNC007361)". The record is from RNAcentral. Lineage: Eukaryota; Viridiplantae; Streptophyta; Magnoliopsida; Fabales; Fabaceae.